UUGACAUCAUCCUACUUGAGAUGUAAUGUAAUGCAAAGUCCCAAGUAGGUUGAUGUCUGGC
This 61-nucleotide microRNA precursor is filed under the name Anolis carolinensis (green anole). RNAcentral describes it as "Aca-Mir-1662_pre stem-loop". The record is from RNAcentral. Lineage: Eukaryota; Metazoa; Chordata; Lepidosauria; Squamata; Anolidae.